UUUUUUUUUUUUCUUGAAUUAUUUUCUGGCAAACAAAAUUCAACAGUCAUUUAAGUUUCUUUUUAAAAACACAGUAGUAAUAAAAACAUGAAGAGGAUAAAAUGCUGGAAAUAUGAAAAAAGUAUUUUAUAUUAUAAAUAAAUAAAUAAAUAAACAGUAUAUACACUGUUAUCCUUCUUAAAUGUGUUUCAUGAGUUUUAUGUUGUUUUUUUUUUUUUUUGUUUUGUUUUUUUUUUUUUGCACUAAGUAUUGUCAAUAUACUAUAGCUAAUAUUUCAAAACAUUUUUAUUGACAAUAUAACAAACAGAACAACUUUGCUUUGAAACUUUAUGUUGGAACUUGGAUCCACCACCUAUUUACCCAAUUGCACUAAAUACAGUUGUGGCCCUUAGCGGAAUUCUUCAUAACUUCCGUACAUGUCGGUGGGACUAAAGCAUGCAGUUUGUUGCAAGGGAUUUUUCAUGAAUUUACACAAAUGGCUUACCAGCAACUCUUCUGAAGCCUUCCUUGACUUUGGUAGCGAGUUCACCUGAAGGGAAUUUAAUCAGAUUCAUGAAAACUGUGAUGAUGGCCCUCGCUACUGCUUUCACAACCCUCCCAGUCGUGCAUUCCGAUACGUCCAGACUGUCCCCAAUAAGUCUUAAGUGGGCUCCUGUGGCAACAAAACGUAGGAAUAGCAGCACCUGGAUCAACGGAGGAAUAGGACGGUUCCUGGCAGUGUCUUUUUGAAGGUGAUCAUGGACGCCAUUCACAAUAAACAGGAUGCUGGCUGGGGAAAAACGAUAUCUCUGGAAAAUCUCUCCUUCCUCCAAAGACUCUAAGGGGUUACUGAGAUCCCGAAAUACCCUUGGGUGCCUCAAAACAGCUCGAUUCAGCCUCCUACGACGUCGACGGAAGAUAAUGGCAGCCAUUUUCAAUGCUUGAGAAUGGACUUAAGUUUGCUUUGUAGUAAACUCAAAUAUUUGAGAAUAAAAUAGAUUUUGAGAAUUUUUA
Saccostrea cuccullata (small rock oyster) is the source of this 993-nucleotide long non-coding RNA. RefSeq lists it as uncharacterized. The transcript is spliced from 2 exons. NCBI's taxonomy places the organism in Eukaryota, Metazoa, Mollusca, Bivalvia, Ostreida, Ostreidae. The record is from RefSeq and is a predicted model, not a curated record.